RNAcentral lists this transfer RNA (84 nucleotides) under Bacteroidetes bacterium GWE2_42_42. RNAcentral's name for it is "tRNA-Tyr". It matches the Rfam family "tRNA". Rfam says of the family: Transfer RNA (tRNA) molecules are approximately 80 nucleotides in length. Their secondary structure includes four short double-helical elements and three loops (D, anti-codon, and T loops). Further hydrogen bonds mediate the characteristic L-shaped molecular structure. tRNAs have two regions of fundamental functional importance: the anti-codon, which is responsible for specific mRNA codon recognition, and the 3' end, to which the tRNAs corresponding amino acid is attached (by aminoacyl-tRNA synthetases). tRNAs cope with the degeneracy of the genetic code in two manners: having more than one tRNA (with a specific anti-codon) for a particular amino acid; and 'wobble' base-pairing, i.e. permitting non-standard base-pairing at the 3rd anti-codon position. The record is from RNAcentral. RNAcentral also lists the same sequence under 2 other names. Lineage: Bacteria; Pseudomonadati; Bacteroidota.
GGGGAGAUUCCAGAGUGGCUAAACGGGGCAGACUGUAAAUCUGUUGGGCAACCUUCGGAGGUUCGAAUCCUUCUCUCCCCACAA